RNAcentral lists this long non-coding RNA (703 nucleotides) under Monodelphis domestica (gray short-tailed opossum). Its description in RNAcentral is "lncRNA (ENSMODG00000029860.2)". Lineage: Eukaryota; Metazoa; Chordata; Mammalia; Didelphimorphia; Didelphidae. The record is from RNAcentral.
AGGGCAAGUCAGAGUUGGUGAGAGCUGGAGAAAAGAGAGAUCCAGCUCCUCGUAGUUUAAAGGAGAGAGUCAAAGACACAGAGAGACAGAGGCACAGACAGACACAAUUCCAAAUUCUCUUCAGGUUCAAAAAAAAGAGAAAGACUCUGGGAAGAAGCUGACACAAGAGCUGCUGGUAGAGUCUCUAAUCCUAGAUUGUUACAUGUGAGACUCCUAGGAAUUUCCUGUGGGUGGAGCAUCUAGGUAUAGAAUGUCAGAACAACGUGGAUCCAAAUCUAUUCUCAGGUACUUCCUAUGAUUCUGGCAGAUUCUGACCUCAACUUAGAUCAGAAGUGGGUCUUCCAGAUGCCAGCAGUCAUGUGGGAUAAGAGGCUAUCAUCUUCCAGGUGCCAAGAAGCCAUGAAGAAUCUGGCAUCCCUCCAGAGUGGGCAUGCAUCCCCCUUAUAUUAAGUAGUUUGUUGACAAAGAAAGCAUCAACCUUUGUUCUUAAUUCAGUCAAAGAAUGGGAUUGAAUAGCUAUGUCUUUUCCCUUUUUCCUAUCUUUUCCCCUUCUUUUUCAUCUUUUUCCUUUCAAAAAUUUCUUUAAUUUUGUGGAAAAUUUCUAUAAUAUUAGUGGGGAUCAGUCUUUAUCUAGUACACUAAUACAGGAACACAUCUGAACCACUAUAAUAAAAGUGCAAGUGUCUAUGAUCUUAGUUAUUUG